This is a non-coding RNA of Microstroma glucosiphilum, 111 nucleotides long. The record is from the annotation of a RefSeq genome assembly. NCBI's taxonomy places the organism in Eukaryota, Fungi, Basidiomycota, Exobasidiomycetes, Microstromatales, Microstromataceae.
GUCGCUUUACCGUAGUGGUUACCGGGAGCCCCUGCUAUUCUUCCGCAAUAGCACUCUUAUGAGAUCAGGGUUUGUGCUUUGCACGCGCAGGUUCGAAUCCUGCAGGCGACG